AGCAAGAGUAACAAAUUACGAUGUCACGUGUUGUUGUGUGUGGCUGAGGGAGAGUAUGGAGACGAGAGAGAAACAAAUUGGAUAAGUGAGGAAGGUAGAUUAGGGUUAGGCAAGGGUUUCUGAUUUUUUUUUCAAUUGGGACAACAGUAAGGAUGACAGAGAGAAAAUGUUGGAGUGAGAGAGAUGAAAGAGAAAGGGUUGAGAGGGAUGAGGGAGAUGAGUAAGGGUUUGGGGGUUUUUUUUUCGUUAGCUUUGAGAAUGAAAAUUAUUUAAAUAUUAUUGACCUUAAAACUUAGAAUCCAUGAUAAAUGAGGGUAUUUUGUCUACUAUAAUCCGGAACACAUUGUUAAAACGUACCAACUAAAAAAUAGGCGUACGCGUGUUAACAAAUCAUAUAUAUAUAUAUAUAUAUAUAUAUAUAUAUAUAUAUAUAUAUAUAGGGGUUUGCUAACUUGCAUACGCCUGUUUUUCAGUUGGUACAUUUUAGCAAUGUGUACCAGAUUUCAGUAGACAAAAAUACCCUUAUAUAUCAUGAAUUGAGUUUUAAGGUUAAGGAUAUUUUAAUAAUUUUCAUUUUCAAAAUUAAAAAAAAUAAAAAAAGAAACCCUCCAAACCCUUACCCAGCUCUCUCAUCUCUCACAACCCUUCCUCUUUCAUCUCUUUCACUCAAACCUUUUCUCUGUCAUCCCUACUCUAGCUCCAAUUGAAAAAAAAUUAAACACUUUCCUUAUUUUAAAAAUUUUCAUUCUCAAAACUGAAAAAAGAAACCCCAAACCCUUACUCACCUCUUUCAUUCCUCUCAACCCUUUUUCCUUCAUCUCUCUCACUCAAACAUUUUCUCUGUCAUCUCUGCACAAGCUCCAACUAAAAAAACACUCAUUAUUAAACAAUUUACUUUUGUAAAGAGUUGAGUCAUUGACAUAUUCACCUUCCGAAAAAAGUUCAUUCAUAAUCUCUUUAAUUUCAUUAUCUUCACUAUAUAUAUUACAGCCGACUG
RNAcentral lists this long non-coding RNA (997 nucleotides) under Vigna radiata. RNAcentral's name for it is "long non-coding RNA (VRAD_LNC000251)". The record is from RNAcentral. Lineage: Eukaryota; Viridiplantae; Streptophyta; Magnoliopsida; Fabales; Fabaceae.